RNAcentral lists this ribosomal RNA (253 nucleotides) under uncultured bacterium. RNAcentral's name for it is "partial 16S ribosomal RNA". It matches the Rfam family "Bacterial small subunit ribosomal RNA", at positions 524 to 776 of the family's 1533-position model. The record is from RNAcentral.
UACGUAGGCAGCAAGCGUUGUUCGGAGUUACUGGGCGUAAAGGGUGUGUAGGCGGUUCACUAAGUUUGGGGGGAAAUCUCCCGGCUCAACUGGGAGGGUGCGCCGAAAACUGGGGAGCUAGAGUACUGGAUGGGAGAGUGGAAUUCCUGGUGUAGCGGUGAAAUGCGUAGAUAUCAGGAGGAACCCCUGUGGUGUAGACGGCUCUCUGGACAGUAACUGACGCUGAGACCCGAAAGCGUGGGUAGCAAACAGG